This 253-nucleotide ribosomal RNA is filed under the name uncultured bacterium. RNAcentral describes it as "partial 16S ribosomal RNA". It matches the Rfam family "Bacterial small subunit ribosomal RNA", at positions 524 to 776 of the family's 1533-position model. The record is from RNAcentral.
UACGUAGGGUGCGAGCGUUAAUCGGAAUUAUUGGGCGUAAAGGGCGCGUAGGCGGCCGGAUAAGUCAAAGGUGAAAUCCCUCGGCUCAACUGAGGAACUGCCUUUGAAACUGUUUGGCUCGAGUCCGGGAGGGGGUAGCGGAAUUCCCAGUGUAGCGGUGAAAUGCGUAGAUAUUGGGAGGAACACCAGUGGCGAAGGCGGCUACCUGGACCGGAACUGACGCUGAUGCGCGAAAGCGUGGGGAGCAAACAGG